RNAcentral lists this long non-coding RNA (5130 nucleotides) under Triticum aestivum (bread wheat). Its description in RNAcentral is "long non-coding RNA (TAES_LNC013877)". Lineage: Eukaryota; Viridiplantae; Streptophyta; Magnoliopsida; Poales; Poaceae. The record is from RNAcentral.
CAUCCGUGCGGCGUGUCCAUCGCACGGCCCUGGCUCCACGGAUGCCCCGCUCCACGCACGCAACGAUUGAUCCUGAUUUUAAGUUUAAAAAAAAAACAAAAUACACAUCGUAAUACUGAUUCCUUCUUCAAUACCCGCCAAAAGAACCACAGAAUACACAAAAAGGCGCCAAAAUGCAAGAUCUACAUCUCAUAUGAGGCGGAAGUGACCUUACAGCCUUAAAGCGCACAAUUAUCAAUAGCGGCUUAACCAGGAAUCAGGAAACUCUUCUCUUCAAUUGAGCAGCAAAGGAAUCCGCGUCCCUGAUGACUUCUCCGAGGAGUGUUCCAGGGAACCAGGACACUGACGAACAAUCUCAUGCACCAAAAGUAAGAAAUCUCAUUCGGUUCUGACGAUGAAUCUGCGGCAAAUUCUCUAAUUUCUUUGUUUUGAACCAUUGCGGGAGACUUCUCAUCCAGCAGUGCACACAAAUAUGUUUGCCUAAAAGAUCCACUUUCCAUCAACUGUGACACGAUCCAGAGUGUUGGCCGGGAAAAAGCAGUGUGCUGCACCCUUGUAGAACUUCUACAGGAAUCUGUGACCGCAUUCUGCAAAAGCCAAACAACAAUGGAAAGUUAGUUUUUUUUUUUUUAAUUUAGAAAAACAAAGCAGUGUCAUGUACAGUAGCCAAUUUCAGACGUUCUUGUACCAUCUCUGAUUUCAGGUUUUGGAAAACAUGCACUACAGUUUUUUCUAUUCUUUUUACAAUACAUAUAGUUCAUGGACAAACAUAAGAGAUAGUUGAAUAUACUUGCACAAACCGUGUACAGAUAUGAAAUAUAAACAGAACAAGGAUUCUAGAGUGCAUCAUGAUUUCUUCUCUAAAACUUAAGACUCCUGAUGUCUCAAUGCACUCCAUGUUUCUUAAGACAAAUACGAUUGCAAGAGAUAUAAAUAUGAUUUAUGAUGCAGUUCAUAAAAACUCAUGAUAGGCAAAUAUGAUUGCUAUAUGUGUGUAUUAACUAAAUUGAAUCCUAACUGAUAUAGGAUCAAGAAACUACAGUAGAUCACACCGAUGAAAGGGUACCAAAGCAUGGCAUGAAAUUUUUAUCUGAAGAGGAAGCUUAUUUAUUUUAUAACAAGUAUGCUAAAACCAUCGGUUUUAGCAUCAGAAGAAGCAGUGGUCAUAAAGUGAUGAACUCUUCUACAUUUCAGCAACGGACAUUUACAUGCUCUCGUCAAGGUAUGGGUUAUUUUCAUUUUUAAAAAUUAUAAUCAUUUAUUUAUGCUCUAAGACAAUUACAACAACUUAUAGGCCAUCGCCGGGAAGAUAAAAGAGAGGAGACAUUCACUUACAGUAGGCCUGAAACACGAUGUGGUUGUGAUGCCCGUAUGAAGAUUAGCCUUAGAGAUGGAUUUUAUUAUGUGUAUGAAUUCGAGGCGUCACAUAACCACACUCUUGCUAAUGGACUCAUGGCCCAAUACUUGAGAUCCCAGAGAAAAGUGACAGAAGCACAGAUAGCAAACGCAGAGGUUGCAAAGUCAGUUGGCAUUUCAAAUAAAGCAACAAUCGAUUUGAUGGCUAAAGAAGCAGGUGGAAGUGAAAACCUUGGCUUUACACCUCAAGAUAUGAAAAAUUGUUUGUACUCAAAGAGAACAAUAAAAGCAAAGGUAGGUGACACAGGGGGGGUAUUAGAAUACAUGGAGAAAAAGGUCUCAGAAGAUGUCAACUUCUUCUAUUCAAUUCAAGUGGAUGAGGAUGAGUUGAUAACUAAUAUUUUUUGGGCCGACUCCAAAAUGGUUUCAGACUAUGCAAUGUUCGGCGAUGUUAUAUGCUUUGACACCACAUACAGAAAACUAGAUGAUGGACGUCCAUUUGGUUUGAUUGUCGGGGUGAAUAAUCAUAAGAAAACUAUUGUCUUUGGUGCUGCACUUCUGUAUGAUGAAACCGCUGCUAGUUUUGCUUGGCUUUUCAGAACUUUCCUAAAAGUUAUGUCAGGAAAACAUCCACGUACAAUUCUCACCGAUGAAGAUGCAGCAAUGGCGAAGGCAAUUUGUGAAGUCUUUCCUCACUCUCACCAUAGACUUUGUGUGUGGCAUAUGAAUCAAAAUGCUUGCAAGCACCUCGCCGGAGUUGUUGACGAAUAUAAGAAGUUUAAUGUUGAUUUUCAGCACUGUAUAUAUGAUAUAGAAGAGGAGGAUGAAUUUGUAGGUGCAUGGGAUAAAAUGAUUGACAAGUAUGGACUGCGUGACAAUGAAUGGCUGCAAAGGCUAUUUGAGAAAAAGGAACACUGGGCACUAGUGUACGGUAAAAAUACGUUCUCUGCCCACAUGAGCACUACCCAAAGAAGUGAAAGCAUGAACAAUGAACUGAAGAGAUACAUUAGUAUUAAAUAUGACAUGCUUACUUUCUUUAAGCAUUUUGAACGGCUAGUUUCGGAUAAAAGAUGUGAAGAGGUGAAGUAUGACUUUAAAGCAACACAGACUACUCCCAAGUUGAAGGCUGAAUCUAGCUAUAUGUUAAAACAAGCUGCAGCUACAUAUACUCCAGCAAUAUUCAAGAUGGUUCAAGAUCAAGUGCUUCGGACUCUGAACUAUGACACAAUGCUUUGUGAUGAAAGUGACACAAAGGUGAAGAUUUAUGUAGUAAAAUUUCAUGGCACACAACGUGAACAUGUUGUUAGAUUCAUUCCAAAAGAAGAAAAGGUUAGCUGCAGUUGCAAAAGGUUUGAGUUUGCUGGAAUUCUUUGCUCUCAUUGCUUAAAGGUACUUGAUAUUAACAAUAUCAAGCAUAUCCCUGGGGAAUAUAUCUUGAAAAGAUGGACAAUUGAUGCCAAAGUUCUAGAUAUAACAAGCAAAUGCAACCCGCGUGAUAACCUAAAAGCAAGAAUGUCUAACCGCUACAAGGAACUAUGCAGAAUAUUUGUGAAAAUAGCUGCUCGUGCCGCUGAGUCUGAAGAAUCAUACUAUAAGGCUGCUAAGUGUGCAGAGCAAUUAGCACAAGAUGUGGAGAAAUGCUUGAAGAUUAGAGCUGAUCCAGAUUUGGUUAGCGUCGAUCCACAUUUGGUUCAUGUUGAUCCGGAUUUGGUUCGCGCUGAUCCAGAUUUGGUUAGUGCUAAUCCAGAUUUGGGUAACUCCAGUACUAAAGAAGGUACAAACUAUACUAACAAUAAUUACCUACACUAUUGUUGAACAACGACUGAUAUUUGGCAUUAUACUGGCAGGAACGAACAUCGCCUCUAGUAGAAUUUCAAAACACGGUGAGGGGCUUGCAAAACCAAAAGGUAUGAAGGUCAAGGAGAAGACUGUGAAAGGAUCAAAAAGACCCGUUGGUGGAUUUGAGAAAGCAACUUCAAAGAAGAAAAAGAACACAAAUGAUACUGUGCAUCUAGAGCCUCGUGGCCCCUCAACGGUAUAAUAUUUAGUCACUCGAUUCGUAUAAAAUAUUUAAUGUGUUGACCUUUCUCUAUCAUUUUCGAUAGGGUCCUUUGAAGAAAGCAACUUUAAAGAAGAAAAAGAACACAAAUGAUAUUAUACAACUACAGCCUCAUGACCCGCCGACGGUAAUAAUACAAUGUUGCUUGUUUCUUAUAAAACCUCAACUGUACUGACCUUUCUCUAUCAUUUUCUAUAGGGUCCUAAGGAAUUUUUCACAAAUCAAAUGGCUGCAUAUCAAUUACACUAUAAUGCUAUGCUAAGUGCUUCAAUGCAACCAUCAAUUGGUAAUGCCAUCCCUAUGCCACCACAGACCCAACAACUGUUGGCUGGAUUCCAACCAUACAAUACAGCAAUGGUAGAAGCAGUCCACACUUUCAUUUUUCCUAUUUUUUUAAACUUCAGUGCAACUGAACUUUGCUUUCUCUACAGGGCCAUCCGACAAAUAACAUGUACACCUCGCUGCAGGGUACGUUGGGGCCUCUAACUCUGGUUUGAUGACAGGAGAAAAUCAAGACUUCCUCCAUCAACCGAAUCCAACAUCUAUCCUAAAUGCUUCAAUGCUGCAAUCCAGUGGUCAUACCAUCCCAAUGCCACCGCAGAUCCAAGAACACGGCAAUACUCCAGUGGUAUAAGCAGUCCACACUUUCAUUUCAAGUAUAGUUUUAGAACUUCAAUGAAACUAAACUUCUCUAAUUUUUUGCACAGGGUCAUCCAACAAAUUACAUGUAUACAUAUUUACAACAGCAACAUUCCACGCUGAAUUCCUCACUGCAAGGGAGCAUUGGGACCUCUGACUCUAGUUUGAUGACAGGACAAAAUCAAUUCUUUCUCAAUCAACCGAAGCCAACCUAAUCUAUUCUGUAAAAGGAAUAGUUUUAUCGCAUGUGUGUUAGACUUCCAAGCUACAAGUGAUUUUUAUUUGAACUUGUAUGAACCAGUUUUUUUUCUUUUUGAAUGCUACUCCAUCUCCCCAGUCAAAUAUAAUCGUUCACAGAAUUAUCUAUGCACAAUGUCCACAUGCAUCAUGCGCAUCUGACCUGUCAGCUAUCCUUCAGUUUACGUAUGAUGAUAGGGAUGGCAGGAAUCAAUUUUAAUUCUAUUGACAAAAGUGCAGACAUAACCAUCUAUCCAAAUGUCAAACCUAGAGGCAUAGAGCAAGCAGAGAACAGAUCAAUUUGGAUUUGCUCUCAGCUUUAUCCCAAUUCAAUUUGCAUUAGAUGGGAGCAACACAAAAAGAAAACGAGAUUUACCUGUGUCCUGUGUAGGUGAUGUUGAGUACACGAACUGCAGCCCGGCGGCUUUCUUGAGGACGGAAUUGACGACCCGAGCUGGAGACAAAGAUUGCAGUCCCUCUCCCCCUCCAAGCAUCCCCGUCCCCCUUCUUCCUCUCCAAGGGCAUAUCAAAUCCAUGGCGCUCUAGCUGCGGUCCUCGACGUCCUUCAUCUCGCUCCCUCGACCCCUCCUCCAAGCUCCUCCACAAGGCCGAGGCGCCGCCCUCUUGUGUAGUCGCCCCGUGCUGGCUCACCAACCUCCGCGCCACUAGGUGGCGACGCUGGUCCGCCGUCCGCUCGACGUCGAUUUAGGCGCCGAUUCUGGCGAAGCUGCAGCACGGCUAGGUCCGGCAAGCGCACAUGGGCCGCGGCCAGCCAAGCGACGCAGGUCCGGCCGACCCCGAUGGGGGCUUCGGUGCCGGCCAAGCUGCUGCACGGUCAG